AACGCGAAGAACCUUACCUGGGCUCGAACGGCUUAAGAUCAUCCUUGGAAACAGGGACUUCUCGCAAGAGACUUGAGUCGAGGUGCUGCAUGGCUGUCGUCAGCUCGUGUCGUGAGAUGUUGGGUUAAGUCCCGCAACGAGCGCAACCCUUGUCCUGUGUUGCCACUCCCGCAAGGGAAGCACUCUCAGGAGACCGCCAGCGAUAAGUUGGAGGAAGGUGGGGAUGAUGUCAAGUCAUCAUGGCCUUUAUGUCCAGGGCUACACACGUGCUACAAUGGGCGGUACAAAGCGCUGCAAACCCGCGAGGGGGAGCUAAUCGCAAAAAACCGUCCUCAGUUCGGAUCGCAGGCUGCAACUCGCCUGCGUGAAGCUGGAAUCGCUAGUAAUGGCGUAUCAGAACGACGCCGUGAAUACGUUCCCGGGCCUUGUACACACCGCUGUA
RNAcentral lists this ribosomal RNA (442 nucleotides) under uncultured bacterium. Its description in RNAcentral is "bacterial SSU rRNA". It matches the Rfam family "Bacterial small subunit ribosomal RNA", at positions 958 to 1398 of the family's 1533-position model. The record is from RNAcentral.